GGGACACGUGGUAUCCUGUCUGAAUAUGGGGGGACCAUCCUCCAAGGCUAAAUACUCCUGACUGACCGAUAGUGAACCAGUACCGUGAGGGAAAGGCGAAAAGAACCCCGGCGAGGGGAGUGAAAAAGAACCUGAAACCGUGUACGUACAAGCAGUGGGAGCACAGGUUUACCUGUGUGACUGCGUACCUUUUGUAUAAUGGGUCAGCGACUUAUAUUCUGUAGCAAGGUUAACCGUAUAGGGGAGCCGGAGGGAAACCGAGUCUUAAUUGGGCGUUAAGUUGCAGGGUAUAGACCCGAAACCCGGUGAUCUAGCCAUGGGCAGGUUGAAGGUUGGGUAACACUAACUGGAGGACCGAACCGACUAAUGUUGAAAAAUUAGCGGAUGACCUGUGGCUGGGGGUGAAAGGCCAAUCAAACCGGGAGAUAGCUGGUUCUCCCCGAAAGCUAUUUAGGUAGCGCCUCGUGAAUUCAUCUCCGGGGGUAGAGCACUGUUUCGGCUAGGGGGCCAUCCCGGCUUACCAACCCGAUGCAAACUGCGAAUACCGGAGAAUGUUAUCACGGGAGACACACGGCGGGUGCUAACGUCCGUCGUGAAGAGGGAAACAACCCAGACCGCCAGCUAAGGUCCCAAAGUCAUGGUUAAGUGGGAAACGAUGUGGGAAGGCCCAGACAGCCAGGAUGUUGGCUUAGAAGCAGCCAUCAUUUAAAGAAAGCGUAAUAGCUCACUGGUCGAGUCGGCCUGCGCGGAAGAUGUAACGGGGCUAAACCAUGCACCGAAGCUGCGGCAGCGACGCUUAUGCGUUGUUGGGUAGGGGAGCGUUCUGUAAGCCUGUGAAGGUGGCCUGUGAGGGUUGCUGGAGGUAUCAGAAGUGCGAAUGCUGACAUAAGUAACGAUAAAGCGGGUGAAAAGCCCGCUCGCCGGAAGACCAAGGGUUCCUGUCCAACGUUAAUCGGGGCAGGGUGAGUCGACCCCUAAGGCGAGGCCGAAAGGCGUAGUCGAUGGGAAACGGGUUAAUAUUCCCGUACUUGGUGUUACUGCGAAGGGGGGACGGAGAAGGCUAUGUUGGCCGGGCGACGGUUGUCCCGGUUUAAGCGUGUAGGUGUGUGUUCCAGGUAAAUCCGGUUCACUUUAACACUGAGGCGUGAUGACGAGGCACUACGGUGCUGAAGCAACAAAUGCCCUGCUUCCAGGAAAAGCCUCUAAGCAUCAGGUAACAUCAAAUCGUACCCCAAACCGACACAGGUGGUCAGGUAGAGAAUACCAAGGCGCUUGAGAGAACUCGGGUGAAGGAACUAGGCAAAAUGGUGCCGUAACUUCGGGAGAAGGCACGCUGACACGUAGGUGAAGUGAUUUACUCAUGGAGCUGAAGUCAGUCGAAGAUACCAGCUGGCUGCAACUGUUUAUUAAAAACACAGCACUGUGCAAACACGAAAGUGGACGUAUACGGUGUGACGCCUGCCCGGUGCCGGAAGGUUAAUUGAUGGGGUCAGCGCAAGCGAAGCUCCUGAUCGAAGCCCCGGUAAACGGCGGCCGUAACUAUAACGGUCCUAAGGUAGCGAAAUUCCUUGUCGGGUAAGUUCCGACCUGCACGAAUGGCGUAAUGAUGGCCAGGCUGUCUCCACCCGAGACUCAGUGAAAUUGAACUCGCUGUGAAGAUGCAGUGUACCCGCGGCAAGACGGAAAGACCCCGUGAACCUUUACUAUAGCUUGACACUGAACAUUGAGCCUUGAUGUGUAG
Molecule: ribosomal RNA, 1741 nt
Filed under: Salmonella enterica subsp. enterica serovar Paratyphi B var. L(+) tartrate +
Lineage: Bacteria; Pseudomonadati; Pseudomonadota; Gammaproteobacteria; Enterobacterales; Enterobacteriaceae
Description: partial 23S ribosomal RNA
Rfam family: Bacterial large subunit ribosomal RNA
Source: RNAcentral